This 861-nucleotide ribosomal RNA is filed under the name uncultured bacterium. RNAcentral describes it as "bacterial SSU rRNA". It matches the Rfam family "Bacterial small subunit ribosomal RNA", at positions 28 to 948 of the family's 1533-position model. The record is from RNAcentral.
AACGAACGCUGGCGGCAGGCUUAACACAUGCAAGUCGAGCGCUCGCGAGCAAUCGCGGGAGCGGCAGACGGGUGAGUAACGCGUGGGAACGUACCCUCCGGUUCGGAAUAACUCAGGGAAACUUGAGCUAAUGCCGGAUACGGCUGAGAGGCGAAAGAUUCAUCGCCGGGGGAUCGGCCCGCGUCCGAUUAGCUAGUUGGUGGGGUAACGGCUCACCAAGGCGACGAUCGGUAGCUGGUCUGAGAGGAUGAUCAGCCACAUUGGGACUGAGACACGGCCCAAACUCCUACGGGAGGCAGCAGUGGGGAAUAUUGGACAAUGGGCGCAAGCCUGAUCCAGCCAUGCCGCGUGAGUGAUGACGGCCUUAAGGUUGUAAAGCUCUUUCGCCAGGGACGAUAAUGACGGUACCUGGAUAAGAAAGCCCGGCUAACUUCGUGCCAGCAGCCGCGGUAAUACGAAAGGGGCUAGCGUUGUUCGGGAUUACUGGGCGUAAAGCGCGUGUAGGCGGGGUGUUAAGUCAGGGGUGGAAUGCCGAGGCUCAACUUUCGAACUGCCUUUGAUACUGGCUAUCUUUGAGUCGGGGAGAGGUGAGUGGAACUGCGAAUGUAAAGGUGAAUUCGUAGAUAUUCGCAGAACACAGUGGCGAAGGGGGUCACUGGCCGGGACUGACGCUGAAAGCCAAAGCGGGGGGAGCAACAGGAUAAAUACCCUGGUAGUCACGCCUGAAACAAUGGAUGCUAUCCGUUGGGGAGCCUGCUUCUCAAUGGCGCCGCUACGCAUUAAGCAUCCCCCCUGGGGAGUAGGCGCCAGAUUAAAAUCAAAGGAAUGACGGGGGGCCGCCAACCGGGGGACUGUUGUUUU